This 429-nucleotide ribosomal RNA is filed under the name Pseudomonadota bacterium. Its description in RNAcentral is "Proteobacteria bacterium partial 16S ribosomal RNA". It matches the Rfam family "Bacterial small subunit ribosomal RNA", at positions 355 to 776 of the family's 1533-position model. The record is from RNAcentral. Lineage: Bacteria; Pseudomonadati; Pseudomonadota.
UGGGGAAUAUUGGACAAUGGGCGAAAGCCUGAUCCAGCCAUGCCGCGUGUGUGAAGAAGGUCUUCGGAUUGUAAAGCACUUUAAGUUGGGAGGAAGGGCAGUAAGCGAAUACCUUGCUGUUUUGACGUUACCGACAGAAUAAGCACCGGCUAACUCUGUGCCAGCAGCCGCGGUAAUACAGAGGGUGCAAGCGUUAAUCGGAAUUACUGGGCGUAAAGCGCGCGUAGGUGGUUCGUUAAGUUGAAUGUGAAAGCCCCGGGCUCAACCUGGGAACAGCAUCCAAAACGGGCGAGCUAGAGUAGGGCAGAGGGUGGUGGAAUUUCCUGUGUAGCGGUGAAAUGCGUAGAUAUAGGAAGGAACACCAGUGGCGAAGGCGACCACCUGGGCUCAUACUGACACUGAGGUGCGAAAGCGUGGGGAGCAAACAGG